Hibiscus syriacus is the source of this 178-nucleotide long non-coding RNA. RefSeq lists it as uncharacterized. Lineage: Eukaryota; Viridiplantae; Streptophyta; Magnoliopsida; Malvales; Malvaceae. The record is from RefSeq and is a predicted model, not a curated record. The transcript has 3 exons.
UCUUCUGAGACUUUCAUGAAUCAAAGAAGACAUAAAGAUACAAAAAAGGGCAAACCACCUUAAACAAGACCAACGGCCAAUCAGAAACCAAACAUGACAGGUUUUUGAACAUUUGAAGGUGCAAUGCACCGUAUACUGGACUUUGUUCCAUCCUCUCCAAUAUUAUUCCAAUAUGGAA